Molecule: unclassified non-coding RNA, 234 nt
Filed under: fungal sp.
Lineage: Eukaryota; Fungi
Description: partial contains small subunit ribosomal RNA, internal transcribed spacer 1, and 5.8S ribosomal RNA
Rfam family: Eukaryotic small subunit ribosomal RNA (bases 1-47)
Source: RNAcentral
AAAGUCGUAACAAGGUUUCCGUAGGUGAACCUGCGGAAGGAUCAUUACAGAGUUCUUGCCCUUACGGGUAGAUCUCCCACCCUUGAAUACAUACCUUUGUUGCUUUGGCGGGCCGCGCUCGCGCUACUGGCUUCGGCUAGUACGUGCCCGCCAGAGGACCACAACUCUUGUUUUUAGUGAUGUCUGAGUACUAUAUAAUAGUUAAAACUUUCAACAACGGAUCUCUUGGUUCUG